CAAGGAAUUUUCCGCAAUGGGCGCAAGCCUGACGGAGCAACGCCGCGUGCAGGACGACGGCCUUAGGGUUGUAAACCCCUUUCGCCGGGGAAGAUGAUGACGGUACCCGGAGAAGAAGCACCGGCUAACUCCGUGCCAGCAGCCGCGGUAAGACGGAGGGUGCUAGCGUUGUUCGGAAUCACUGGGCGUAAAGGGCGCGUAGGCGGCCUGGACAGUCAGAUGUGAAAGCCCGGGGCUCAACCCCGGAACGGCAUUUGAUACUGCCAGGCUGGAGGUCGGAAGAGGAGGGUGGAAUAUCCAGUGUAGAGGUGAAAUUCGUAGAUAUUGGAUGGAACACCGGUGGCGAAAGCGGCUCUCUGGUCCGAACCUGACGCUGAGGCGCGAAAGCGUGGGGAGCAAACAGGAUUAGAUACCCCCGUAGUCC
This 424-nucleotide ribosomal RNA is filed under the name uncultured prokaryote. RNAcentral describes it as "bacterial SSU rRNA". It matches the Rfam family "Bacterial small subunit ribosomal RNA", at positions 355 to 796 of the family's 1533-position model. The record is from RNAcentral.